AUAACAGGCUGAUACCGCCCAAGAGUUCAUAUCGACGGCGGUGUUUGGCACCUCGAUGUCGGCUCAUCACAUCCUGGGGCUGAAGUAGGUCCCAAGGGAAUGGCUGUUCGCCAUUUAAAGUGGUACGCGAGCUGGGUUUAGAACGUCGUGAGACAGUUCGGUCCCUAUCUGCCGUGGGCGCUGGAGAAUUGAGGGGGGCUGCUCCUAGUACGAGAGGACCGGAGUGGACGCAUCACUGGUGUUCGGGUUGUCAUGCCAAUGGCACUGCCCGGUAGCUAAAUGCGGAAGAGAUAAGUGCUGAAAGCAUCUAAGCACGAAACUUGCCCCGAGAUGAGUUCUCCCUGAGACUUUAAGUCUCCUGAAGGAACGUUGAAGACGACGACGUUGAUAGGCCGGGUGUGUAAGCGCAGCGAUGCGUUGAGCUAACCGGU
This 431-nucleotide ribosomal RNA is filed under the name Klebsiella pneumoniae. RNAcentral describes it as "partial 23S ribosomal RNA". It matches the Rfam family "Bacterial large subunit ribosomal RNA", at positions 2474 to 2899 of the family's 2925-position model. Lineage: Bacteria; Pseudomonadati; Pseudomonadota; Gammaproteobacteria; Enterobacterales; Enterobacteriaceae. The record is from RNAcentral.